RNAcentral lists this long non-coding RNA (1092 nucleotides) under Bos grunniens (domestic yak). Its description in RNAcentral is "lncRNA (ENSBGRG00000017296.1)". Lineage: Eukaryota; Metazoa; Chordata; Mammalia; Artiodactyla; Bovidae. The record is from RNAcentral.
GAGGCACCCCCUCCCUCGCCCACCCCCGGGACGGGCCCGGGAAAGUUUGCCCGGGAAAAAAAAAAAAAAAAUUGGGGGAAGUGGCGGCGGCGGGUCCCGGGGGAGGAGCUCGGGAGGCGCGCGGGGUCUGAGAGCAGCCCCCACCCGCUCCAACCCGCGCCCGCCUCCUCCCCCGAGGGCGCCGGCGCCCGCCCGCGGGCCCUGGCAUCCCCGGGGUGCGCGGGCCCAGGCCCGGGGUCUGAGCUGGGGGCUUUGGACGCGGCAUGUGGAAAGGAGUACGGCCCGGGAGUGGCAGCGGGGGAUAGCCAGGGGGCGAGGCCGGGUGGGGAAGAGGGGCAGGCGGGAGUAGCUAGUGCCCCGGGACAGGCUCGGCCGAGCCGGCGCCGCGCCCCUGCGUGCGCGCAAGGGGCGGAGGCGGAGGGGCGGCACCCCCUCCCAGGACUGGGCGGGGGUCCUAGACAGGCUCGGGGCCGGGAGUGGGGGCGCGGCGCCCCCGCGGGCGGGCUAGUGACACGAUCAUCUCCUUUUCCUUUAAGCUUGCCUGUUGCCGACGCCGCCGCUCCAGCCGCGCCGCGGGCAGAAGACUGGACCGCUGAGCCCCGGGCCGCGGCGGCGGCGGCGGCUGAGCGCCCCCACCGAUGCCGUGACCCUCCUGCCCGGGGGCGGGGACCCGGGCUUCACCGGCCGGGGCCGCUCCGGUGCGCCUCCUCCCACCCCUCUGCCCGCCUUCUCCCCACUCCCCGCCCCCCGGCCCCGAACCCCGCGCACCUCGUCUGGGGACGGGGCGGGGGGUGGGGGGGGCAGGGCUGCCGCUCCUCUCCGCCCCUCCUCCUCCGGCCUCUGGAGCGAUUUGUCAAACUUCCCAUUCCGCCGGCAGCGCGGUCCUCCUCCUCCUCCUCCUCCUCCUUCACCACCUCCUCCUCCUCUGCCUCCUCCUCCCCCCGCGCUCCUCCCUCCCCGCGCCUCCCUCGCCCGCCCUCCUUCUUCCCUCCGCACGUUCGGGGAUCGCGGCGGAGCGCUGAGCGGGGGGGACGCGGAGAGCCGGGGCGCAGCAGCAUCCUGCGGGCGGCCGCUCUCCGGGGGGGAGGCUGA